RNAcentral lists this small nuclear RNA (104 nucleotides) under Cricetulus griseus (Chinese hamster). The record is from RNAcentral. Lineage: Eukaryota; Metazoa; Chordata; Mammalia; Rodentia; Cricetidae.
UAAAAUAUGGAACGCUUCAUGAAUUUGCCUGUCAUCCUUGUGCAGGGGCCAUGCUAAUCUCUGUAUCGUUCCAAUUUUAGUAUAUGUGCUGCUGAAGCGAGCAC